This 496-nucleotide ribosomal RNA is filed under the name uncultured bacterium. RNAcentral describes it as "partial 16S ribosomal RNA". It matches the Rfam family "Bacterial small subunit ribosomal RNA", at positions 29 to 507 of the family's 1533-position model. The record is from RNAcentral.
AUGAACGCUGGCGGCGUGCCUAAUACAUGCAAGUCGAGCGGACGGACGAGAAGCUUGCUUCUCUGAUGUUAGCGGCGGACGGGUGAGUAACACGUGGAUAACCUACCUAUAAGACUGGGAUAACUUCGGGAAACCGGAGCUAAUACCGGAUGAUAUUUUGAACCGCAUGGUUCAAAAGUGAAAGACGGUCUUGCUGUCACUUAUAGAUGGAUCCGCGCUGCAUUAGCUAGUUGGUAACGUAACGGCUUACCAAGGCAACGAUGCAUAGCCGACCUGAGAGGGUGAUCGGCCACACUGGAACUGAGACACGGUCCAGACUCCUACGGGAGGCCGCAGUAGGGAAUCUUCCGCAAUGGGCGAGAGCCUGACGGAGCAACGCCGCGUGAGUGAUGAAGGUCUUCGGAUCGUAAAACUCUGUUAUUAGGGAAGAACAUAUGUGUAAGUAACUGUGCACAUCUUGACGGUACCUAAACAGAAAGCCACGGCUAACUACGUG